This 252-nucleotide long non-coding RNA is filed under the name Musa acuminata (dwarf banana). RNAcentral describes it as "long non-coding RNA (MACU_LNC005826)". The record is from RNAcentral. Lineage: Eukaryota; Viridiplantae; Streptophyta; Magnoliopsida; Zingiberales; Musaceae.
GUAUAUCCUCGCAGGUCAUCGGCGAUGGGUAGAGCCAAAAUUUGACCCCUCCCUCUACCCCGUCUUGCUUGGAUCUCAAAGUUGUGACUAAUUGAAGAGUGCAAGUAUUGGAGGAAUCACGAUCAGCGAGCAGGGAUCGGCGAAGAAGAUCACUGGGGCUUGUUCCUACGCCGAGCUGUUUCAUUGAUCUCUUUGCCGAUUCUCUUCAAGAUUUCGACUUUGGUAUCUCGUGAUCUUUUAGCUGUAGUUCUG